Molecule: RNase P RNA, 332 nt
Filed under: Oscillospiraceae bacterium
Lineage: Bacteria; Bacillati; Bacillota; Clostridia; Eubacteriales; Oscillospiraceae
Description: RNase P RNA component class A
Rfam family: Bacterial RNase P class A
About the family: Ribonuclease P (RNase P) is a ubiquitous endoribonuclease, found in archaea, bacteria and eukarya as well as chloroplasts and mitochondria. Its best characterised activity is the generation of mature 5'-ends of tRNAs by cleaving the 5'-leader elements of precursor-tRNAs.
Source: RNAcentral
UAAGCAAGUAAGACAGCAGCGCACCAGAUGUGUGAGGAAAGUCCGAGCUCCACAGAGCGAGGGUAACUGCUAACGGCAGCCGGAGGCGACUCUAGGGAUAGUGCAACAGAAAGAAACCGCCACAAAUUUGUGGUAAGGGUGGAAAGGUGAGGUAAGAGCUCACCAGAGAUUAGGCGACUAAUUUGCUGUGUAAACCCUACCCGGAGCAACACUGACAGGGACACAUAUGCUUGCUCGGCAUGUUCCGAAAAGUGGCUUGAGUCCAGCGGUGACGCUGGUCCCAGAUAGAUUGUUGUCAAAAACAGAACUCGGCUUAUAUACUUGCUUACGCG